Molecule: long non-coding RNA, 488 nt
Filed under: Panax ginseng (ginseng)
Lineage: Eukaryota; Viridiplantae; Streptophyta; Magnoliopsida; Apiales; Araliaceae
Description: long non-coding RNA (PGIN_LNC012659)
Source: RNAcentral
GCCCACUUAAGCAUUACUCAAAGAAUUUUGUUCUCAAACAAACUACCCUCAAUUAGAUACUUGAAAGUAGAAAGUAGGUCCAUAUCUUGGGUUUAAAAGCCUUAGAACAGGCGUUAAAGUGGAAUUCAGGAAAAAAAGAAAAAAGAAAAAAGAAAAAUUGAUAAUGAAAAUAAAGUCUAACAUUGUACAAGGCAUUUUUCAUGUGAUAAGGAAUUGGUGUAACAAUCUUACAAACGGAGGUCCUGCCUCAACAAGGUAGAAUAUGUAUAUAAAUUUAACAAAUGAACCACUCUUAAACUACUGAACAUUCAAUCAUUUUUUUUUCACAUAAAAAUUUGAUCAAGAUGUAUACUUCUAUAACAUUAAGGAGUGUAUUAUAACAUAGUUGGAGACUCCAGGUUCACCCCAAACUAUAUCACAAAUUCAGUGACAGGCUACAGAAUAGGACAACAUAUAAAACUGGUUCUAGGACAAACAAAAUAUUAAAG